CUGCUAGAACUGGCUUUGUGAUAAACAAGCAGAGAAAUCAAGAAAACAGGAGCUGAUGGUGCAGUAAAAAAAAGGCUCAAUUGGAGAAGAGUAAUAAAGGAGGUGAGCCUGACAUGGUGGUGAUGAACACUCCUGCUCCUACAGCGCCUCCAAGUGGACCUGCACCGCAACCACAGCCCAUAGUGCCUUAUGUACAAUUUCCCCCUCAGACCUAUGGGAGCCCAAAACCAUGGGGCCCACCAUCACCCAGAAUGCCACCUAUGCAAUGCUGGGGGUGUGGACAAUUGACACAUGAGGAACCAACAUGAGGAACCAAUGUCCACCUAAUCCUCAAUAUCAAGGAUGGGCUACAACACCAGGAGUGAACCGAAGAGGGAGAGGACAUUUCAGGAGGAAACCGAGGAGGAUACCAACAAUAAGGUGGACAUCAGCAGCAACCCCAAACCUUGCAUCAGUAGAACAUGCCUGACUCUACCCCACCAGUCAUACAAGGAGAAUGUUCUAAUGCCUCCCAUCAAAAAGAGAGCUGGCCCAAGCAAGCACAGGUUACACCUGAAGCAUGAGGACUUGCAGCAAGUGGUGAACUUCAACAACUACGCAGAGGAUAAUGCAAUAGUAUUACCAGGACACCACCCAGGACACAAACUCUUUGGUGGAAAGCUGCUGCCAUCCCAUGUGACAAAAGCAGCAGUGUGGCGUCUCUACAAGGAAUCUGUCUCAGGGGGCCCCUACUGAACCAGCAAACAGACUGGACCUUCACUUCCAAGAUCAAAGGCCACACCAAGUUUGCCCCCAACUGGUGCUUCGGCCUCAUCAAGCAGCGCUUCAGAAAGACCAGAGUGAACACUUUGUCUGAGAUUGCUGGUGUUGUGAAGGACAGCACUGUGACAGGGGUCAACAUCCCACAGCUGGUUGGACUGGAGGAUGAUACGGUGCUGGUGGAAAGCUAUGUCUGGCAACAAUACCUGACUCUGUACUUCAGGCCACUGCCACAGAUCAAGCAGUACCAGCACUUCAGGUGAAAAUCAUUUUCAUUGCAUUGUAUGAGGUUAUUCUUCUUAUCUAAACUUGGGAGGUGAAUUGAUGUGCAACGCUGACCAUCCUUCCUCCCAUAGA
RNAcentral lists this long non-coding RNA (1116 nucleotides) under Salmo trutta (river trout). RNAcentral describes it as "lncRNA (ENSSTUG00000045037.1)". Lineage: Eukaryota; Metazoa; Chordata; Actinopteri; Salmoniformes; Salmonidae. The record is from RNAcentral.